RNAcentral lists this ribosomal RNA (496 nucleotides) under uncultured bacterium. RNAcentral's name for it is "partial 16S ribosomal RNA". It matches the Rfam family "Bacterial small subunit ribosomal RNA", at positions 29 to 507 of the family's 1533-position model. The record is from RNAcentral.
AUGAACGCUGGCGGCGUGCCUAAUACCUGCAAGUCGAGCGAACAGACGAGGAGCUUGCUCCUCUGACGUUAGCGGCGGACGGGUGAGUAACACGUGGAUAACCUACCUAUAAGACUGGGAUAACUUCGGGAAACCGGAGCUAAUACCGGAUAAUAUAUUGAACCGCAUGGUUCCAUAGUGAAAGACGGUUUUGCUGUCACUUAUAGAUGGAUCCGCGCCGCAUUAGCUAGUUGGUAAGGUAACGGCUUACCAAGGCAACGAUGCGUAGCCGACCUGAGAGGGUGAUCGGCCACACUGGAACUGAGACACGGUCCAGACUCCUACGGGAGGCAGCAGUAGGGAAUCUUCCGCAAUGGGCGAAAGCCUGACGGAGCAACGCCGCGUGAGAGAUGAAGGUCUUCGGAUCGUAAAACUCUGUUAUUAGGGAAGAACAAAUGUGUAAGUAACUAUGCACGUCUUGACGGUACCUAAUCAGAAAGCCACGGCUAACUACGUG